RNAcentral lists this ribosomal RNA (424 nucleotides) under uncultured bacterium. RNAcentral describes it as "bacterial SSU rRNA". It matches the Rfam family "Bacterial small subunit ribosomal RNA", at positions 355 to 796 of the family's 1533-position model. The record is from RNAcentral.
UGGGGAAUUUUGCGCAAUGGGGGAAACCCUGACGCAGCAACGCCGCGUGGAGGAUGAAAUCCCUUGGGAUGUAAACUCCUUUCGAUAGGGAAGAUUAUGACGGUACCUAUAGAAGAAGCCCCGGCUAACUUCGUGCCAGCAGCCGCGGUAAUACGAGGGGGGCAAGCGUUGUUCGGAAUUAUUGGGCGUAAAGGGCGCGUAGGCGGUUUGGCAAGUCUUAUGUGAAAUCUUCGGGCUCAACCCGAAGCCUGCAUGAGAAACUGCCGGGCUUGAGUAUGGGAGAGGUGAGUGGAAUUUCCGGUGUAGCGGUGAAAUGCGUAGAUAUCGGAAGGAACACCUGUGGCGAAAGCGGCUCACUGGACCAUAACUGACGCUGAGGCGCGAAAGCUAGGGGAGCAAACAGGAUUAGAUACCCGUGUAGUCC